Molecule: ribosomal RNA, 468 nt
Filed under: uncultured bacterium
Lineage: Bacteria
Description: partial 16S ribosomal RNA
Rfam family: Bacterial small subunit ribosomal RNA
Source: RNAcentral
GACGAACGCUGGCGGCGUGCUUAACACAUGCAAGUCGAACGGAAAGGCCCUGCUUUUGUGGGGUGCUCGAGUGGCGAACGGGUGAGUAACACGUGAGUAACCUGCCCUUGACUUUGGGAUAACUUCAGGAAACUGGGGCUAAUACCGGAUAGGAGCCCCUGCUGCAUGGUGGGGGUUGGAAAGUUUCGGCGGUUGGGGAUGGACUCGCGGCUUAUCAGCUUGUUGGUGGGGUAGUGGCUUACCAAGGCUUUGACGGGUAGCCGGCCUGGGAGGGUGACCGGCCUCAUUAGGACUGCGAUACGGCCCAGACUCCAACGGGAGGCAGCGGUGGGAAAUAUUGCACAAUGGGCGGAAGCCUGAUGCGGCGACGCCGCGUGCGGAAUGACGGCCUUCGGGUUGUAAACCGCUUUCGCCUGUGACGAAGCGUGAGUGACGGUAAUGGGUAAAGAAGCACCGGCUAACUACGUG